AACGAACGCUGGCGGCAUGCCUAACACAUGCAAGUCGAACGAGACCUUCGGGUCUAGUGGCGAACGGGUGCGUAACGCGUGGGAACCUGCCCUUAGGUUCGGAAUAACUCCCCGAAAGGGGUGCUAAUACCGGAUAAUGUCUUCGGACCAAAGAUGUAUCGCCUGUGGAUGGGACCGCGUUGGAUUAGCUUGUUGGUAGGGUAAAAGCCUACCAAGGCGACGAUCCAUAGCUGGUCUGAGAGGAUGAUCAGCCACACUGGGACUGAGACACGGCGCAGACUCCUACGGGAGGCAGCAGUGGGGAAUAUUGGACAAUGGGCGAGAGCCUGAUGCAUCAAUGCCGCGUGAGUGAUGAAGUCCUUAGGGUUGUAAAGCUCUUUUACCCGGGAUGAUAAUGACAGUACCGGGAGAAUAAGCUCCGGCUAACUCCGUG
Molecule: ribosomal RNA, 433 nt
Filed under: uncultured bacterium
Lineage: Bacteria
Description: partial 16S ribosomal RNA
Rfam family: Bacterial small subunit ribosomal RNA
Source: RNAcentral